ACCGUGAACCUAUAGUUGUAUUUUCACUUAUGCUAUUUGGCAGUAGCAUUGAUAGUUUUGUUAGAAAGCAAAGUAUCUUUGCACUCACGCACAUGGACAAUUACAUUAAUUAUGUUCUAUACCUGUCAACUAGCUGAUUUUAUAUACGUGAAAUAUGAUGCUUAAUCAGAUCUCCAUCUUUAUUUACAUUUAUGACAAGGAAAUUUUGUUUCUGUUCUUCACCUUUUGUUCUUCAUGUAUCCUGGACUUACUUCUGUGCAUACCAGUUUUGCCUCUGCAGAUAACACACUGAUAUAAUCAUGUACCAAGCCAUGCACGGAAAAUAAAACAGGUCCUUUGCACUUGAUGAAGUUAAAAUUUUGUUUAUUAAUACCAGCGGUGAUCUUUAUUCAGGGGUUGUAGAUAAAUAAUUUUAGUUAUGUAUUUUUGUUCCAAUACUUUUAGGUUAGAAUACAAAUGCUUUCUGCUAUAAUAACGUGUUAAAAAUAAAUAACUUUUUUGUUUUGUGCUUCAGCCUCCUUCGCUUUUAGAUGGACACCAUUAUGUGUUUAUGAAGAUAAGUGCCUAAUUUUAAAAUCUUGGAUUUAGGAGAAAAAAACUCAGCCUUUUAAUUGGGUACCAUUAGCCACUUCCAUUAAAAGUGCUCAGGUUUGUUAAAAAUCUUCGAGAAGUGGUGCCUACCUAAUCAUCAUGGCAUGCAUGCUUACAUGUUCCAUUUAAAAUACUAAGAAUCACAUGACAAUACUAACACUUUGAUAUAAUACUAAGCUUCUCAAAUGUGCCUAACUUUAGUUGGAUUCUAACACUUCGAUACAAUACUAAGAAUAACAUGACAAUACCAGGGUUAUUUUUGCUUUACAAGUCAUACAUUUAUGUCCAUUUAAAAUGAUUUCAUGAUGAAAUUGGUUUAUUACUACAAACUAAUCUCAUAUGUGCACAGACUGGGACAAGGUCAAACGGAUUUUCAUGAUGAGAUAUUUGUUCGUGCUUUGUUUGAGAAUUAUUUUUAUGUUACAAUGUUGUUUUGGUUUAAGCGCAAGCCAAAUAGAUUUGCUACUUGCAAGGUUGAUAGUUGUCACUGAUUAUAGAAGUCAUGACUCAUGAAUGGAGUUACUUAAAUUCAGUAUCAAAGAUACUUGGAGUGGGGAGGAACUUGAGCGAGUAUACGGUAAAAAUAAGUUAGGUCUUAAUAUUGUUGAAGAUACUUGCACAAAGGUUUCUUCUACUAGAUUUGUGAGUCUGCUCUCUUGCAGAUGGAUUCUGUGUAUGGAUACUAUAUGAAUUAGCAGACUCGAGGAAAUGGUGGUGCUGGUGUUAUCAGGGAGGGAGGCAUACCGAAAAUGCAGCCCAAGCAGAAUCCAAUGCACUCCCCUCCUCCAAUAAGUCCUGGUACCAGCACAGAAGGUGAGCACCGAGUGUUGCCCUCGGGUCAAGGCAAGCACCAAAACUAAUUCUUGAGCAUAUGUACAUUUGUUAGCCCAAAGAUCACUUAUUUCAACCCAAACACAGAAUAUUGAGGCUCCCAAGUGUAGUUUGCUAAAGCUUACAGGAAGAGCUUCUGAAGGUUCUCAUGUUAUGUUUUAGUUCUUGCAGGGGAGGUUCGUCAGUCAGGCUUCGCUUCUGUAGAAUGCCAUGAAGAAAGAGAGCUAGGGGAAGAUAGCAUUGCACCCAUGGUCAUUUUUUUGGAUUUCACUCUCCCUCUAACUGAAACUCAUGAAAGCUUCUGUCUUUUAGUUCUGCACUUUUGUGAGCAUGCAAUGGGUAGAGAUAACUGUAGAGUGACUUGUUGCCAUGGGGAUGAGAUAGUUGCUGGCAACUUUCAUGGUCCAAAUGCUAGGGUAAAUGAUGCAAUAAGGCAAAAACUUAUUUAGCAGUGGUACAAUGUUAUGCUAAUGUAGAAAUGAUCAUGUUACUAUGCUUUCAUCCUAUUAUGUUAUAAUUAUGCAUAGUAUACAGAGAAA
Molecule: non-coding RNA, 1961 nt
Organism: Lolium perenne
Lineage: Eukaryota; Viridiplantae; Streptophyta; Magnoliopsida; Poales; Poaceae
Source: RefSeq, a predicted model, not a curated record